This is a long non-coding RNA of Ixodes scapularis (black-legged tick), 1923 nucleotides long. RefSeq lists it as uncharacterized. The transcript has 4 exons. Lineage: Eukaryota; Metazoa; Arthropoda; Arachnida; Ixodida; Ixodidae. The record is from RefSeq and is a predicted model, not a curated record.
UAACACAAACUGUUGCGUUGUUAGCUGCACGCAUAGUUACAAAAAUUGUACUCCAGGAACGAAGUUUCUCCGUUUUUCGACGCGCCCAUGCCUGCAAGACCAGCGAGAGCGUUGGAUUCACUGCAUACGUCGUGCGAAUGCCGACGAUACUGAAUGGAAGCCCACGGUAUGGUCGAGAGUUUGCAGUGCGCACUUCGUUGGCGGUAAACCAUCGACGAAUCCCGCAUCUCUGUCAUAUACGCCGACCAUUCUUCUACCACCCUACCGCAAGCCGCUUGCGAUAUCUGAGGACAAGAAGUCCCGCUAUGAACGGUUGUAACAGAGUCAUCAUUGCUUCAUAGGGCUGCAGCUGUUGAAGGGAAACUGAAGGUCGCAACACAAACAGAUGCAAACACCUGUAACCUUCCUUCGUCUUGUAUCAUCCUCAGCUCUAUCCUCUAUUCACAUGAUGAGGCCCCUGUGGAGUGUAAUCACAAUCCUGCCCCUGCCCCUGCCCCCCCCCCCCCCCCCCCUCCCCCCCCCCCCAGACAGAGACCUCCGAAAAGGUAUUGGAACCGUAAAUGUGGACCAGUUCCAGCCCGGAGGAUUCAACGGCUACAAGUUUAUAUCAUCUGACAAUGAGCACAGUGAAGCCUUAAAGGAUCUGAUGGGAGUCUUGACUGCCUGCUUUGCAGUUCUGUUACGGAUGCUGACAGGGUUGGGCAGUAUCACGAUACAAAUGUACUGCAAUAUUAUUUCAUAAAUACUUUUAGUAUUUAUAUAUCUGUAUUGCGAUACAAUUUUUUCAAUCAGUAUCUGUAUUUCAGUAUUGGAAUACAUUCUCGGCUUAUUCCUUGUAUCGCUAUAAAAUACUGGGCCAAUGUAUCUCGUUACAAUGCUCAAGAAAUCAGUGACCCCUCAAGCGAGAGACUGUUUCCUUUCUUUUUUCACACUUCAAAGGGGUGGAAGGUACUGUAAAUGUGACCUUGAGGCUUUGUUUAUUUCUAACAUUAUGCUCCCAAGAUUGGUGACCCCCUUCCCUAUUUUCCAGCAAUAUGUCUUCCAGGGUGCUUCCGUUGGGCAACUAUUUUUGUUGAAUCAAAACGAUGAAGGCACUGUGCGUACAAGCUUUAAAGCUGUACAUUGCACUCCAAGUCUCAUUUACUAAAGCAAGCGUAAAGUUUCUUCCUUGAGAUUAUCCAAUAAAAGAACACCACUUCAUUCCAAGGCGACGUCUUGAAGUGACAGAGAAAAAGGCACCGACAUGGGACUAGAGGAUGCUAACCUUUCGGUGAUAUUUGAAUAGGUAUAAAACGAAUUUCGAGGUUCAUGUUAUAUUGAAAGUAUUUUCAACCUAUUAAAGACCCGCUUAGUUCACACAGGUUCAUGUUAGAAGGAAAAGGACAAUUUCAUGCGAAAAUAAUUUUGGGCUCGAGAGUUUCUUUUGUUUUCACUAGAUGACUCCUUUUUCGCCUUAGAAGCACAAACUCUGUCGACAAAGCCUGCAUGUUACUACCUCCAAGCAAGGUCUUCGUAAACAUAUAAAAAAUAAUACUGGCAUGGUUUAAAACGUUUUCACUGUGAAAGCGGUCUUCGUUUGUUUUAAUGUAAACCCGUGUUUGUUGACACUUGUGGAACGCUUAACCUUUUCGCUAACAUGAAUCUUUUCCCAAAUAGGCAGCAGCUCACUGACGGGCUCUUUAAAAAGCUGCUUUUCAUCCAAUGUAGUCGAGUGUAGCAGCAACGUUGUAUAUUUACAUUUGUUUGGUAUUGCUUCCAGAUAUAAAAAUAGUACAUGUAGCAAAAGGUAGUUUCAGUUUUGUUUUCCAAAUAGUAACUUUUUGCCGGUAAUACAAAAGUUCACAUCGCAAAGGGCUUCUUUUUUUAAAGUAUGUGAGAGCGUUACUGCCCCGGGACAAUAAAAAUUCCUGUAAAUGUAUUUUC